AUUGAACGCUGGCGGCAGGCCUAACACAUGCAAGUCGAACGAGUGGCGGACGGGUGAGUAAUGUCUGGGAAACUGCCUGAUGGAGGGGGAUAACUACUGGAAACGUUAGCUAAUACCGCAUACUAUCGGAUGUGCCCAUAUGGGAUUAGCUAGUAGGUGGGGUAAAGGCUCACCUAGGCGACGAUCCCUAGCUGGUCUGAUAGGAUGAUCAGCCACACUGGAACUGAGACACGGUCCAGACUCCUACGGGAGGCAGCAGUGGGGAAUAUUGCACAAUGGGCGCAAGCCUGAUACAGACAGGCCGCGUGUAUGAAGAAGGCCUUCGGGUUGUAAAGUACUUUCAGCGGGGAGGCGUUACCCGCAGAAGAAGCACCGGCUAACUCCGUGCCAGCCGCCGCGGUAAUUC
RNAcentral lists this ribosomal RNA (406 nucleotides) under uncultured bacterium. RNAcentral describes it as "partial 16S ribosomal RNA". It matches the Rfam family "Bacterial small subunit ribosomal RNA", at positions 30 to 526 of the family's 1533-position model. The record is from RNAcentral.